CUGUAACUGACGCUGAGGCGCGAAAGCGUGGGGAGCGAACAGGAUUAGAUACCCUGGUAGUCCACGCCGUAAACGAUGAGUGCUAAGUGUUAGAGGGUUUCCGCCCUUUAGUGCUGCAGCAAACGCAUUAAGCACUCCGCCUGGGGAGUACGGUCGCAAGACUGAAACUCAAAGGAAUUGACGGGGGCCCGCACAAGCGGUGGAGCAUGUGGUUUAAUUCGAAGCAACGCGAAGAACCUUACCAGGUCUUGACAUCCUCUGACAACCCUAGAGAUAGGGCUUCCCCUUCGGGGGCAGAGUGACAGGUAUGUAGCAUGGUGUCGUCAGCUCGGUCGGAGAG
RNAcentral lists this ribosomal RNA (340 nucleotides) under Bacillus sp. S4-1(2013). RNAcentral describes it as "bacterial SSU rRNA". It matches the Rfam family "Bacterial small subunit ribosomal RNA", at positions 734 to 1071 of the family's 1533-position model. The record is from RNAcentral. Lineage: Bacteria; Bacillati; Bacillota; Bacilli; Caryophanales; Bacillaceae.